UGGUAGGGGGUGUUUGGAGGGGAGCGGUAGUUGUGGAGGCGGGUUUGGAGUUGUUUGAGGUCGCCGGAAAAUGGGUAUUGAGCUGAUGGUUUCAGCUGCUACUGGUUUGGGGUCGUUUUGACGAAGAAAUAAGGGUUGUUGCUGGUGCUGGAGCUUCGCCGGUUAGGGGAGAGAGAAGGGAGAGGGAGAGGAGAGAGAGGCAGCUGGAGAGGAAGAGGAGAGAGAAGGGA
RNAcentral lists this unclassified non-coding RNA (230 nucleotides) under Hevea brasiliensis (rubber tree). Lineage: Eukaryota; Viridiplantae; Streptophyta; Magnoliopsida; Malpighiales; Euphorbiaceae. The record is from RNAcentral.